AAACGGGAGAAGCCCCGGAGCCUUUUAGGGCUCUUCAUCAAACUUGCAUUUUAAUGUAAAUCACUUCGAGGCUC
This 74-nucleotide transfer RNA is filed under the name Anolis tropidonotus. RNAcentral's name for it is "tRNA-Cys". Lineage: Eukaryota; Metazoa; Chordata; Lepidosauria; Squamata; Anolidae. The record is from RNAcentral.